Molecule: ribosomal RNA, 440 nt
Filed under: uncultured bacterium
Lineage: Bacteria
Description: partial 16S ribosomal RNA
Rfam family: Bacterial small subunit ribosomal RNA
Source: RNAcentral
CCUACGGGUGGCAGCAGUAGGGAAUGUUGCGCAAUGGGCGAAAGCCUGACGCAGCAACGCCGCGUGAGAGAGACGCGCUUCGGGGGGUAAAGAUCUGUAAGGGGGGACGAAACGUGACGGUACCCACAGAGGAAGCACCGGCUAACGCCGGGCCAGCAGCCGCGGUAAUACGGGGGGUGCAAGCGUUGUCCGGAAUCAUUGGGCGGAAAGAGGUCGUAGGCGGCACGUAAAGUCGGGUGUUAAAGGCAGAGUCUCAACUUCUGUACGGCACUGGAUACUUGCGAGCUAGACUGCGGUAGAGGUAACGGGCAUUCCUGUUGUAGCGGUUAAAUGCUUAGCUAUCCGGCGGACCCUCGGUGGCGUACGCGCUUUACUGGGCCGUAAUUGACGCUGAGGAACGAAAGCCCGGGUAGCACAUCGGAUUCGAUACCCUUGUAGUC